GGCUCUGACCAUGCCAGCAGGCUUCACGGUUCUCGUUUUCCAAAGAGGAACACAGAUUCAGCGAGCGGCUGCUGGCUUCUGACCCAUUUUGAUGUCAGGGCUUGGCACGUAGGAGGUGUUCAAUGUUGAUCGAUCCAAGGUCGUGCACAUAGGGUCUAAGACGGAAGAGAACUUCCUGCCCCUCUUGGAGCUUCUAUUUUAGAGGGAGACACGGCCAGACAGGUCUCGAACUCCUGGCCUCAAGUGAUCCGCACACCUUGGCCUCCCAAAAUGCUGGGAUUCCAGGCGUGAGCCACCGCGCCUGGCCUGUCCUAGGGAGAAUGAGCCUGAUGACUUUACCAUUUUCCACCUCUAAGAGCCAAUCGCAAAGGAGGCUGGCUGGCAUCUUGUGUCUGUCUAGCAUCUCUACCAGUUUCUGUAGAAAACCCUCAAGCUGUGCCAAGACGAUCAUGUCUGGACACAGCUCUUGGUGUCACGGGGUGUCUCCUCCUACUGCCUAUCGCCCUUUGCAGCCACCAGAAUAAUCAUGCAGCCAGGGCCCCAUAUUAUCUACCGCUGUCCAUCUGCUCUCCAGCACAUCAGAGCAGCCCUUCCCCUGUGUGAGAUUCCUCUCCAGGGCAAGACUUGAAGGGAGCAUCAAGGUUGCAGUGGAAGAAAUAAAUUGGAAGUGGAGCUG
Molecule: long non-coding RNA, 676 nt
Organism: Homo sapiens (human)
Lineage: Eukaryota; Metazoa; Chordata; Mammalia; Primates; Hominidae
Gene: CSE1L-DT
Product: CSE1L divergent transcript
Source: Ensembl